Oncorhynchus tshawytscha (Chinook salmon) is the source of this 4735-nucleotide long non-coding RNA. The record is from Ensembl. NCBI's taxonomy places the organism in Eukaryota, Metazoa, Chordata, Actinopteri, Salmoniformes, Salmonidae.
UUUAUUUGCCUGCAUGUACAUUUUAUCCUGACUUGAUGGCUCAUCACCUCACUGUUUUCAGUUUUAUACAUGUAUCGUUGAGGAAAUUAUAUUAAUUUUAUUAAAAGCUGUAUUUAAAUGUUUUCUAAAAACAAUUUCCUUUACGAGCCACAGCUGAUUUGAACGAGUUUGUUCAUUCAGAUUCAGAACUUUUAAAACAUUGGGUAGACUCCAUCUGGGCAGGCUCGCAUUGGUCGAAUCAACGUUGUUUCCACACUGAAAUGACUUUGAACCAACCUGGAAUAGACCUUGAAUUGACGUCUGUGCCUAAUGGGGCCUUAACCAACAGGUUUGCCUACAUUGUUAACACCAUUCAGAAUGCAUAAUCCUACAAAGAGUGGAGUUCCUACCUUUUGGGGUGCUGCUGGAGGAAAUGGCAAUCUCAGAUUUAUCUUGACAACAAAAGUGAGAAGGUGGAGGAGGGUCGGAACAACCUGAGACUGUCCCACUUAGAUGAACUGACACUGGCUCCAGCUUCUUGGCACUGCACACAGUAACCGUGGUUACGCAAGUAACAUCCCACCCUCCUCCACCUUCUCACUUUUGUUGUCAAGUUAAAUCUGUUGAUAGGGCACAGACCAAUAUUAUGUGAAGAAACAAACAGACCCCCAUUACCACAAUGACCCUGGAGCCACCCUGAUGCUGAGAUCAAAGCCUAAACUUUGACCCAGCAACAAGAUGGGAAAUAUUACCUAUUUAGCUACACACACACACACACACACACAUGCAGUGUGUUUAUUCUACAAUUUCAUACAGUACAUGUCAUACAGUAUGUGGGGGUUUAUGUAGAUAUGAGAGAGAAGUGAAGAAACACAGACCCCCAUUACCACAAUGACCCUGGAGCCACUGCCUCUGAUUGAGAACCAUAUCAGGCCAAACACAGAAACAGACAAACUAGACACACAACAUAGAAUGCCCACUCAGAUCACACCCUGACCAAUAUCUACAUACUUAGUCUCACCCAACCAGCCCCUAACACUGUAAACUUAACCCACCCCUCUCCACCCUGACCCCUCAGACUCUGGCCGCGUUCCUCUGCCCAGGCAUUGCUGACGCCUGCCAGAUCUUACAACGCCUGGAUAGUUAUUUUAAGUAUCAGCUAACCACAUCAUAUGUUAUAGCAAUCACAACACAGUUGAUACAUGCAAAGUUUGAGCAGGGGUAUGCGACUUCUACCUCCUUGCCCUGUAAACGCUGACCUCUAACCUUACAUGUCCCUGUUAAUCUCUGUCCCCAGGACCUAGCCACCCCUGAGGACUUCUUUCAGAACUUGCACCUCUCUUGGUUGAGAAAACAUGCUGAGUAAGGGGAAGCAGGUCCGGUCUGUGGAAGUCAACGCCCAGGUCAUAGAUGAUCUGCACUGCCAGGCCGGUUCCAGACCUGUCCUCAAGGGAGGCUCCAUUGUUUAUGACUAAACUGAGAGGAUAUACAGUAGCCAGAUAAUUAGCCUUUGCUCUAGUGGUGGUUUCCAAAACUAGUUGUCAAAAGUAGAAAAUGUUAAGAUUAACAUCUCACACACGACAACUGGAGAACUAUUGUGUCUUGCUUUACACUAUUGGAGGCAAAGUGGAAUGGCGUUAGAGGUAAAAGAGGAGGAACAUUCCAACGUAUCCUCCCUCUGCCCUCACGUCCAGACCUGCGGCUCUCUAACCGUUUUAUGGCUCUGAGCCCCCUGACAUCACCGGGGCCCUCCGGUGAGGCCUUCCCACUCCACCUCAGCACCCAGCGCAAGCUCCUCUGUAUCUGGUCCUGGGUUAAUGAGCUGGCCAUCCCCUGGAUCAUAACACACCUCACAGGCUCACAGCGACAUUCUUGUCGUCCUCCACUAGUGGUUGUUAUAGGGAGCUCCAUAGUUAGGGAUGUGGUGGUCAUGGAAACAAGUACCCACUGCUUCCCUGGAGCCUGUGUUUGUGACAUAGAUCACCAGGACCAUGCUGUGAUGGAGAAGCAUCCAAAUUCUCACACAGUCAGCGCGGGCUCCCGAUUGGCGCAGUGGUCUAAGGCAGUGCUUGAGGUGCCACUACAGACACCCUGGUUUGAAUCCAGGCUGUAUCACAACUGGCUGUGAUUGGGAGCCCCAUAGGGUGGUGCACAAUUGGCCCAGUGUUGUCCGGGUUUGACUGGUGUAGGCUGUCAUUGUAAUAAGAAUUUGUUCUUAACUGCCUUGCCUAGUUAAAUAAAAAAUAAUGUUGGUACAAACCACAACAAUCUUCAUAAAUCGUGGUGAAUUUAAGAGGACUUCAGAGGGCUCAUAGGCAGGCUAGGCAGUGGGUCUCUACCAACAAAGGGUCACUGAAUGGAGUGCUUUAGUCGUCUCCUCUGGCAACACCUCUGGCUUAAAUCCUACUGUUCCUUGAUGCAUUUUGAAAACAUUGACCAUUUUCAGCACUUUUGGGAGAGGCCCCAGUUUUACAAGAGGGAUGGCUUGCAUCCAAUUAUGAAAGGGGCAUACGAAUUUGGCGAUAUCGUUUAUAGGAAUGCAGCUUUCACUGUAUUGAUGCCCUUGGACACAGUUUAACAUUGCGCUUUGUUACGAGCGAUUACAGGUAAUUGCAUUUUGAAUGAGAAAGUAGGCUGGCCCUCUCUGAAGUCUCGUAGAUUGAUGCAUUGCACUCUUUUUGUCAAAGACCUUUUGCAUUAACGUCCGACAUACCUUACGUCAUUGUUGACCUUCAGACCCGUGCUCAGGGAUGGCUAACCCUGGAGAUCUCUUUAAUCUCCACCGAGUUAAGGAAAUCUGCUUUCAGUUUUUUUGUGCCGCAUUUUGGAAUGCUCUCCAAAAGUCCUUAAAGUUGGUGGAUUGAGUGUUCGAAGUGUUUUGUUUUUCAGAUGAUUGUUUUGCUUUCUGUAUUUUUGUGUUUGCUUUUCAUGUGUUGUAUAAUUGUUGUGCUCUUCAUUGUAAUUGUUGUUUAUUGAUGUCUUUGACAAGUCAUCAUUGUAAAUAAUAAUUUGUUUUUGAUUGACUUACCUGUAUACGUAAAAGUGAAAUUAACAAUAAAUGUAAUUUCUUCUUGGACAAAUGUCAUUGACAGCAUGCUUUGGAGAGAGAAAUACAUUGUUUUCUUCUCGAUAAGUGUCUGGUUGGUGUUCUGUUCUUUUCCUCCCCUGUGAAUCAUCAGGUCUGUGCUGUGUGAGCUGUGGACAUGUGGCUGUGAACCAGGGCAGCCCUAUAUGUGCCCUAGAGGGGAAAGGUUCCACUGACCCAUAUACCAGUGAUGCCAAGUUUCCUUCUGAGGAGCUGCCAAGGAGACUGAAAAGAUUUGGCAUGGGUCCUCAGAUCCUCAAAAGGUUCUACAGCUGCACCAUCGAGAGCAUUACUGCCUGGUAUGGCAACUGAUCAGCCUCCGACCGCAAGGCACUACAGAGGGUAGUGCGAACGGCCCAGUACAUCACAGGGGCCAAGCUUCCUGCCAUCCAGGACCUCUACACCAGGCGGUGUCAGAGGAAGGUCCUAAAAAUUGUCAAAGACUCCAGCCACCGUAGUCACCACUCUCUGCUACCGCACGGCAAGUGGUACCGGAGCGCCAAGUCUAGGCCCAAGAGGCUUCUAAACAGCUUCUACCCCCAAGCCAUAAGACUCCUGAACACCUAAUCAAAUGGCUACCCAGACUAUUUCAUUCCCCCCCUGACCUCUUUUACACCGCUGCUCCUCUCUGUUAUUAUCUAUGCAUAGUCACUUUAAUAACUUAUAAUGAACAUAGUCACUUUAAUAAAUUACAUGAACAUAUUACCUCAACUAACCGGUGCCCCCACACAUUAACUCUGCACCUGUACUCCCCUGUAUAUAGUCUGGCUAUUGUUAUUUUACUGCUGCCCUUUAAUUACUUGUUUAUUUUAUUUCUUAUUCUUAUCCGUAUUUUUUUUUAAACUGCAUUGUUGGUUAGGGGCUCGUAAAUAAGCAUUUUACUGUAAGGUUGCAUUUGGUGCAUGUGACUAAUACAAUUUGAUCUGAUUUGAAUUUGUACAGCCGCAAAAUCAAUAACCAAUGUCCUUUGGGACACUAUUCCUGAGGGAGAUACUGUGGAGACCGGUAGACUGAUUUGUCACAUUACUCCUUUUAUACAUGCAUUGACAGGUGUUUGUCUUGUGUGUGACGCGGCAUGCUGCUGUACAGGUACCAUUUUCAGGGCCCGUGUGGGACCACACUACCCCUGGCGUUGGCGCGUCAACGUCUGAAUUUAUCCGAGGGGCGGGGUCUGACCUCUGGGGCUCUUCUCAUAUCCACUCCAGGGUUGUUCAAUUCCAUGGCAAUUAUUCUCAGAUCCAAAAAACGUGUCUGAAGACACUUUCAACUAGGAAUUAUUGGUGGAGGGAGUGUUGCUGUCUGCUGCAGAAGACUGAAUAGUAGAGCAGAGUAGUCUGACUGGAUACUUGAUACUUGUUAGGUUAACUUAACUGGAACUGAGAUGUUAUGUGUGUAAUUGUUGGUUCUUGAAAGGCAGAAAAGGGGCUAAGUGCAUAUUCAGCUGAAUAUAAGAAAAUGGGUCAGGCUGCUGAUUAUCCCGCACACCAUCGUCUCGGGCACCUGCGCCUCAUGACACUCACCUGGACUCCAUCACCUCCUUGAUUAUCUUACCUAUAUCUGUCACUCCCCUUGUUUCUUUCCUCAGGUGUUAUCGACUGUUUUUAUGUUGGUGCGUUGUUUGUCUUACAUGUUUAUUGUUUCAUUUAAUUAUUAAAACACUCACACCCUGAA